RNAcentral lists this ribosomal RNA (433 nucleotides) under uncultured bacterium. RNAcentral's name for it is "partial 16S ribosomal RNA". It matches the Rfam family "Bacterial small subunit ribosomal RNA", at positions 29 to 507 of the family's 1533-position model. The record is from RNAcentral.
AACGAACGCUGGCGGCAUGCCUAACACAUGCAAGUCGAACGAGACCUUCGGGUCUAGUGGCGCAUGGGUGCGUAACGCGUGGGAACCUGCCCUUAGGUUCGGAAUAACUCCCCGAAAGGGGUGCUAAUACCGGAUAAUGUCUUCGGACCAAAGAUUUAUUGACUUUGGGUGGGCCCUCGUUGGAUUAGCUAGUUGGUAGGGUAAAAGCCUACCAAGGCGACGAUCCAUAGCUGGUCUGAGAGGAUGAUCAGCCACACUGAGACUGAGACACGGCCCAGACUCCUACGGGAGGGGGCAGUGGGGAAUAUUGGAAAAUGGGCGAAAGCCUGAUCCAGCAAUGCCGCGUGAGUGAUGGAGGCCUUAGAGUUGUAAAGCUCUUUUACCCGGGAUGAUAAUGACAGUACCGGGAGAAUAAGCUCCGGCUAACUCCGUG